Papaver somniferum (opium poppy) is the source of this 480-nucleotide long non-coding RNA. RefSeq lists it as uncharacterized. The transcript is spliced from 3 exons. The record is from RefSeq and is a predicted model, not a curated record. NCBI's taxonomy places the organism in Eukaryota, Viridiplantae, Streptophyta, Magnoliopsida, Ranunculales, Papaveraceae.
AACAAUUGUGAAUCAUGGAAGCAUUGAUUCUUUUGGAUGCAAUCAUGAAUGAUAGAUAACUUAGAUGGGGGAAUAAUUUGGCAUUGGAAAGAAUUCUUUCCUGUCACUUUCAGUGGAAGGACUAUUACAGGGGUUCUAUGGAGAACACAAUCUUUGGCUGGAAAACCUGCUGGAAUGUUCUACAUACUGGGUCUCAAGGUGGUGGUCAGGAAAGAACUGCGAAAUGUAGGAAGAUAGGCCCAUAAAAAACAAAUGAUUCAACUUUGAGCAUCUUAGGAGCACUGCAUUAGCUGGUAUAAGUAAGCCGGUGUUUGUAUGAAAGAUUCCAUAGGCCCAUAAAAAAACAUCCCAUUUGUUCAAGAAGAAUGGAUGUAUUGAUGUCAACAAGUUCAGGUCUAAGAACUCUUUCACUAGGAAAGGCAUCUCAACUUUUGUUGAUGAGUAAAUCAACUGCUGUUACUCUGUUGGCAAAAACCUUAG